CUCCUGGGGUAAAAAGGGCAAGUCGAACGAGAACUUCGGAUUCUAGUGGCGGACGGGUGAGUAACGCGUGACCUUUCGAAAUUAGGAGGGGGAUAACGGUUGGAAACGACCGCUAAUACCCCUUAUGCCGAGAGGUGAAAUCUAAUUGGCCUGAGGAUGAGCUCGCGUCCGAUUAGCUAGUUGGUGGAGUAAGAGCCCACCAAGGCGACGAUCGGUAGCUGGUCUGAGAGGAUGAUCAGCCACACUGGGACUGAGACACGGCCCAGACUCCUACGGGAGGCAGCAGUGGGGAAUUUUCCGCAAUGGGCGAAAGCCUGACGGAGCAAGACCGCGUGAGGGAAGAAGGUCUGUGGAUUGUAAACCUCUUUUGAUUGGGAAGAAUACUGACGGUACCAAUCGAAUCAGCCUCGGCUAACUCCGUGCCAGCAGCCGCGGUAAUA
Molecule: ribosomal RNA, 440 nt
Filed under: uncultured Prochlorococcus sp.
Lineage: Bacteria; Bacillati; Cyanobacteriota; Cyanophyceae; Synechococcales; Prochlorococcaceae
Description: bacterial SSU rRNA
Rfam family: Bacterial small subunit ribosomal RNA
Source: RNAcentral